UCUCUCUCUCUCUCUCUUUCUCUCUCUGUAUGGAUAGACAAGAAAGAAAGGAAGAAAAUAAGCAAGAAAGAGAGAGAGUGGGAGAAUUUUUGUUUGAUUUUUGGGUUUUUGGUUGAAAUUGGUAAUAGUAAUAAUAAUAAACAAGAAACAAUAAUAGUCAACAAUCACAAGAUGGGGUGUUUUCGCUGUACUGGGCAAUCAAGCAAGCGACCAGAGAGGAGCAACAGUAAUAGCAUUAAACGCAACGAUCAAACACGACCCGCUUCAGGACAAUUGAAAGUAAAGCCAUUUGCAAAUGUAAAGAAAGAGGAGACUUCUAAUGAUGAUCAAUUAUCAUUGGAUGUAAAGAAUUCAGAUUUGAUUGAUGAAGUUUCUAAGGGUGCGAGAUGGGAAGCUCGCCCAAACAUUUACCUUCGAGGAACUUGCAGCCGCAACAGGCAAUUUCCUGUCAGAUUGUUUCUUGGGUGGAGGAGGUUUUGGCAAAGUUUACAAGGGGCACUUGGAUAGAAUCAACCAGNUGGAUAAAAUCAACCAGGUUGUUGCUAUUAAGCAACUUGAUCGAAAUGGCCUUCAAGGGACUAGGGAGUUCGUAAUUGAGGUAUUAACAUUAAGUCUAGCAGAUCAUCCCAAUCUUGUCAAGUUGAUUGGGUAUUGUGCUGAGGGAGAUCAGAGGCUAUUGGUGUAUGAGUACAUGUCAUUAGGAUCUCUAGAAAACCAUCUGCAUGAUCUUCCACAUAAUAGGCAACCACUUGAUUGGAACACAAGAAUGAAAAUAGCUGCUGGUGCAGCAAAGGGUUUAGAAUACUUACAUGACAAAAUGAAGCCUCCUGUUAUAUAUCGUGAUCUGAAAUGCUCCAAUAUUUUGAUUGGUGAGGACUAUCAUCCAAAGCUGUCUGAUUUUGGCCUGGCCAAAGUGGGACCCAGUGGGGAUAAAACUCAUGUUUCUACAAGGGUUAUGGGCACAUAUGGGUAUUGUGCGCCAGACUAUGCAAUGACAGGUCAACUGACAUUUAAAUCAGAUGUUUAUAGCUUUGGAGUGGUUCUUUUGGAGCUCAUCACAGGCAGGAAAGCAAUUGAUCAAACAAGGGAUCGUAAUGAGCAGAAUCUUGUUGCUUGGGCACGACCUAUGUUCAAAGACCGGA
RNAcentral lists this unclassified non-coding RNA (1142 nucleotides) under Hevea brasiliensis (rubber tree). Lineage: Eukaryota; Viridiplantae; Streptophyta; Magnoliopsida; Malpighiales; Euphorbiaceae. The record is from RNAcentral.